This 159-nucleotide non-coding RNA is filed under the name Hemiselmis virescens. The record is from RNAcentral. Lineage: Eukaryota; Cryptophyceae; Cryptomonadales; Hemiselmidaceae.
AGCGUGAGAGGGAGAGGAAGGAGGCUAAGGCUAGGGAGGAGGAGAAGCAGCAGAAUGCGAUGAACGAGAAAAAGGAGAAGGAGUGGCACAAGGAAGAGAAGAGAAAGCUCUCCAAGGACGAACAGAGGGAGCAAAAAAUGAGCCUCUAUUUGAGGGUUU